GCGACCGUGGUCCAGCCUGGUAAGACUCCAGCUUCCCGAGCUGGCUACGCGGGUUCAAAUCCCGCCGGUCGCA
RNAcentral lists this transfer RNA (73 nucleotides) under Hadesarchaea archaeon. RNAcentral's name for it is "tRNA-Gly". It matches the Rfam family "tRNA". Rfam says of the family: Transfer RNA (tRNA) molecules are approximately 80 nucleotides in length. Their secondary structure includes four short double-helical elements and three loops (D, anti-codon, and T loops). The record is from RNAcentral. Lineage: Archaea; Methanobacteriati; Hadarchaeota (SeqCode); Hadarchaeia (SeqCode).